Molecule: long non-coding RNA, 535 nt
Organism: Magallana angulata
Lineage: Eukaryota; Metazoa; Mollusca; Bivalvia; Ostreida; Ostreidae
Exons: 2
Source: RefSeq, a predicted model, not a curated record
CUGAACUUGAACAAAAUGAGAGAAAAAUUAUAAAAUUAUUUUAUAAUUUUGAGGAAGUGCCAGGCAUUGACAGAGACGACGAGUUGCUAUCCUUGGCCAGAUACAAGGGUAUAAUGAAUGGAAAGAUACAAAUUCCCUAUGAGAAAGGAGAAAAGUUCCAUACUCCAAAGAUGUUAUCAUCCGUUAUCGAGGGCUCCAUUUCCAAAUGGGAUGGCAAAAGGAAUAUCUCGCCUUUUAUGGAGGACCUACACAACAAAGUUAUCAUUGAGACGCUUAUUAUAAUUUUUAUAAUUUUUGUAAUAAUUGUUGUGAUUGCUGGAAUGAUCUAUUAUAUACUAAUUAUUAUAAUAGUCAUUAUAAUUUUUAUAAUUUUGAUUAUAUAGUAAAAAUAAUAUUAAUUAUAAAUUUUAUUUUCAUUUAUAUAAGAUAUAUGUCAAAAUAUAUAUAAAAUAUGUCAUUUGGGUUGAUUUUUAUAUAAAAAAAAAAGCUUUGUGUAUACGAAUUUAAGAUAAAUAAAUUCUUGUUUCACCCCUUA